Long non-coding RNA from Pomacea canaliculata, 2449 nucleotides. RefSeq lists it as uncharacterized. The record is from RefSeq and is a predicted model, not a curated record. NCBI's taxonomy places the organism in Eukaryota, Metazoa, Mollusca, Gastropoda, Architaenioglossa, Ampullariidae. The transcript has 3 exons.
UGUUUUAUUUCCUUGCAGGUACCUGGGGGUAACUUGUUAUUCUCAUUGUGGUGAUGGUAGUCGUUCUGUUUCUUUACGUUUGCAUCUUUCUAAAUAAUGAUCCGAGACCAAGAUUGCCGGAGCCCAGACCUCAAGUUAAGGUGGCGCCUCUUGCUCGAGUAGACACGGGAGACAACAACACGCUGUGCAUAGUUUACUUCGUUGAGCGAGACCUCAUCAGCUCAAGAGGUGGACGAACGAGAUCAUCGAAAAAACUCACGUCGUUCAGCGCAUGCGCACAUCAUGAAUUACGUGAUCGCGUCACGUGAUGACAUCCUGAACAUCCCCACUUGCCGACUGGCUCUGGUUUUUGUGAACCCGGAUGAACGGCAGCUGAUCUUGGAGGACGACUUUCACAUGGGAAGCACUCGGCGGGACACAGUGCAGACACUUCGUGACAGAGGAGCGGAGGUCAUUCUGAUCGUGUACGGUGACCCAACCGUCCAGGAUACGCGUCCUUCAAGAUGAACUUCUCUUCGACCGGUCUCUGACACAGGUGACGUCACAUCCUGUGCUGAGGGACUUGAAAUCCAAGGGGAGGAUAAUAAGUGUGAAGGUGUCAUUCAGUGCAUAUCAGAAACGGCAUCUGGUGGCCACUAUUGACCAGAUUUUUGUAUGAACUUAUUGUCAUUGUGUAUGCUUAAAGUAGGUAGGGGGGACAACUAAAACCACAGUCGUUGAACAUAUCACCGGUUGAGUAUGACAUCACAAGAGCUAGGUUAAUGGAACUACAGGGAAGUGAUCCAUGUCUGACCACUGCAAAGAAUAUUGUGAACCCUUGAUAACCCGCUAUGGGGGAAGCGUCCGAACUGAGAGCGCGCUGGUUCAAUUCCCGAUUAGCGCAGCCAACUUUUCCAAGUCGACCCAGCGGGCUGGAAAGGGUACCUGACUCCUUAGAAGGCUGGGAGGGAAGGUAGGUAAGGCAGAGAGGGAGAGGAGAUGGGCAAGACCCUCACCUAAAGCUGUCCCCGAGAAAAGUGAGUCUCUAACACUCCCCCCACACCCAACUACCUGAAAAGAUUAGGGGAUGACCUUUACAUUCUCCAUAAAGUCAUGAAUUUGCAUCAAAAGAACAGGCAGAAAGCUUUGUUACACGCAUUUGGCACUAUUUCAAAUAUUCUUGUAUAUUCUCCUCCUGAAAACACAUUUUUCCGAACGCUAUCAUAUCUAGAUUGUUUGUGUGCAACUGAAGAUUUAUUGCUUGAAAAUAAAUAACUAUUUUACUUAUAUUUUACUUGGCUGUUUGUGUUAAUAGUUCUCUAUUUAUACUGUUAUUGUUGUUGGGUAAAGCAGCAAAAAUCAUCCCCGAGCACUAGUUUGUCAAUAAAAUUUUGAAGCGUAUUAAUACAAAUAGAAAAUGUAUUGUGCAUUUUAGUAAGUUUACAAUAGACCCCCGCUGCCAUGGCUUCCUGUGCAUGGAGCUGUAUGGAAAACACGAACAAACAGGAAAGUAUGAACCAGUCCACAACCAAACAGACAACCGUUAGAAGCACAAAGGCAUGUGGGAUGGAAAUUAUUUUGUUCUAUUAUAAAUAAUGCAUAAAAAUAUCACCAAUCAAAGCGUGUGUUUUAGGGUAAGGUAAGUAGGCUAUAAAAGGUACACUAUUAUUUUUGUCUAUCUCUCUCUCACACACAUCACAAAACAAAUGUCUAUCGGAAAUGCCCAUAAACCUUUUUUUUUUUCCCGCGAAUCUCUAGCGAUGUACGCGCAGACAGGAGUGAGUGAAUUGAGUGAAUUUUGUUGUUUUAUUAUUAUUAUUAUUUUACAUUUUUCAUCAAGUGUUUCCAUCAUUGCACAUUUGCAUAAAACUCAAUUGUUUUACUUUCACGUGAAGAUUACAAGACUUCCGUCAAUAUUCUCAAGACUAUCGGGUUCGGAAAUUCCCGUUUUCCAGGAAACCCAAAUUUUCCCAUUUCCUAAUCUCUCCGGUGGGAAGAUGUUACAGGUUAUAAAUAGAACCACACAGCAGUUUACGUGAUCUUUGUUAUCAAAUCUUUACUAGCUGUCACCGAAAUUAAAAUCAUUUCUGUAUUCUCAUUAAUAUGCAGGUAUCCUAUACUGAGUAUUAUUCUUAUCUCAAAACAGAACACACACACACAAAGAAACAAACACUCUAUCAAGUAUUUUUAAAUACAUUUCAAAGUAAAAAUAUUCACAAACCAGUAGAAAUGAGUGAAAUAAGCAUUCUGUAAGACAGGCUAGUGCUAGAGAAUAUUGUUUUUUAGCAAAGAACGGAAUAUGGCUGAGAAUAUAGAUAAAAGGGACAAUCAAACAAUCUUUUUUGUCAUCAAACGGAGUGCAAUACAUAUGAAUAUUAAUUUAAUAAAAGACAGUGAAUAGUCAAUCAAUGCUAUUCUUGGAGUCAUUUCAGGAAUAAUGACACAAUGCUCACAACUUCCCUUAAGCAUU